Molecule: long non-coding RNA, 736 nt
Organism: Stegodyphus dumicola
Lineage: Eukaryota; Metazoa; Arthropoda; Arachnida; Araneae; Eresidae
Source: RefSeq, a predicted model, not a curated record
ACCGCCUCCUGUUGCUGAACUGUCCGUUUCCCACUACUCGUGUCAAUGAAUUAUUUAUACUGUGACUCUGAUGCAAAAUACAAAUAGAUAUUAUAAGUUUUACUUUCUUCGGCUGAUUUCAUUUUACUGAUGAUCCAAAACGGCGCCUUUCCGUGCAAGAUUUCGUCACAAACGAAGAGGAAGGCAAUUCAGGACCCUAUAUCAAUUACCGAGAGGUAUUUGCCAGGUUUGAACUCUCUCCGGGACAAUAUGUUAUUAUUCCUGCUACCUUCGAGCCACAUCGGCAAGGAUCUUUCAUGAUUCGCGUUUACACUGAUUGUCCAUUUGAUCUCAGGGAACUCAGGUGACUGCGUAUUCAGCCGAAGCUUAUGAAUACAUUUUCACAGGAAGCCUUGAAGAAUGAAAUUGAAAUAAUUCAGCUACUAAGAAAAAGGACAGUAUUCAAUAUGUGAUGUAAGCACAUUUCUUCUAUGCUCAAAUGCAGAUUUUAAACAAAGGACAUUUUCAGAAAUCUGUGCCUUUUUACAACAAAUUAAAUAAUAGAAAGAACUUUUAACGAUAUAUUCGAACAAGUAAACUUUUAUGAAUAUUUAAAAUUAAAAGGCAUUGAGUGAAAUGUAAAUUGUGAAUUGCUGCAAAGGCCCAGUGUAAUGACAUGAAGUGGAUUUAUGUAUACUAAAUUGCUCAGAUGUUUCUAAAAUUCAUUAAAAUCUUCUGAAUACAUUAUUAACCUUUA